AUUAGCUCGCUUGGUCAGAGCAUGGUGCUAUUGAUGCCAAGAUUUGGGUUCAAUCCCCAAAU
Molecule: transfer RNA, 62 nt
Filed under: Ficedula albicollis (Collared flycatcher)
Lineage: Eukaryota; Metazoa; Chordata; Aves; Passeriformes; Muscicapidae
Rfam family: tRNA
About the family: Transfer RNA (tRNA) molecules are approximately 80 nucleotides in length.
Source: Rfam by way of RNAcentral